GCUGGGUGUGGUGGCACACACCUAUAAUUCCAGUUUCUUGGGAAGCUGAGGCAGGAGGAUAAUGAGUUUGAGGCCAGCUUCAGCAAUUUAGUGAGAUCCUCAGCAUCUUAGUGGGACCCUGUCUCAA
This 127-nucleotide small RNA is filed under the name Marmota monax (woodchuck). Lineage: Eukaryota; Metazoa; Chordata; Mammalia; Rodentia; Sciuridae. The record is from RNAcentral.